CAGUAGCCGCGGUAAUACGUAGGGUGCAAGCGUUAAUCGGAAUUACUGGGCGUAAAGCGUGCGCAGGCGGUUUUGUAAGUCUGUCGUGAAAUCCCCGGGCUCAACCUGGGAAUGGCGAUGGAGACUGCAAGGCUAGAAUCUGGCAGAGGGGGGUAGAACUCCACGUGUAGCAGUGAAAUGCGUAGAUAUGUGGAGGAACACCGAUGGCGAAGGCAGCCCCCUGGGCUAAGAUUGACGCUCAUGCACGAAAGCGUGGGGAGCAAACAGGAUUAGAUACCCCGGUAGUCCCUGUCUCUUAUAC
RNAcentral lists this ribosomal RNA (301 nucleotides) under uncultured bacterium. RNAcentral's name for it is "partial 16S ribosomal RNA". It matches the Rfam family "Bacterial small subunit ribosomal RNA", at positions 509 to 807 of the family's 1533-position model. The record is from RNAcentral.